CAGCUGAGGAAGUGGAAGGCCCUCCAUCUGGCUGGUGUCGCCCUGCUUAGAAGAUUUCGGAAGAAGCAGGCAAAGUCGAAGGAGGAAGAGAUCUUGGACGUGGAGAUCCUGCGGAAACAUCUGCAGGAACAGGGGCCCUACUACUCCCAGUGGCCGAUCCAGGAUACCACACACCCUCGAGGCCACAAGUUCCAGGCCUGGGAAGAUGUUAAGCCCUUCCUGCUGACCAGUGGUACCACCAGAACCUUUGAAAAGCGACGAGAGGCCACUAGGACCUUGAUGCUGGAGUGGGAGCGCCGCAAGCUGGAGGAGCAAGCCAGGGAAGAAAAGCGCCGAGCUCAGGAGCAUCGGGUCCAGAAGCAGGUGGCUCGGUGCCUGGCAGC
Molecule: long non-coding RNA, 383 nt
Filed under: Vombatus ursinus (common wombat)
Lineage: Eukaryota; Metazoa; Chordata; Mammalia; Diprotodontia; Vombatidae
Description: lncRNA (ENSVURG00010001258.1)
Source: RNAcentral